This 1419-nucleotide long non-coding RNA is filed under the name Bos indicus x Bos taurus (hybrid cattle). RNAcentral's name for it is "lncRNA (ENSBIXG00005006704.1)". Lineage: Eukaryota; Metazoa; Chordata; Mammalia; Artiodactyla; Bovidae. The record is from RNAcentral.
AUGGCCAAUAGUUGUUACGCUUUUAUGUCGGCCACGCCCUCUAGGUCCCGCCCCAUUGGGGCCCCGAAGUCUCUAAGUUGCGGUUUCUACAGGAACGUGGAUUUUUGUUUGUUUAAAUGCAGGGCUUUAUAUCCCGCAGAAGGCCCUCAGGAUAGGACCUGGAGGAUAGAUCCCCAGGGUAUGUCCCCGUUCAAUGCCUCAGGUUCUUUGCCAUGUUCCCCAUCGGGCCUCCAGGCGGCGCCACGACCACAUAACAGCCUUUCUUGCCAGGCUCAGUUCAGUUCAGUCGCUCAGUCAUGUCCGACUCUUUGCGACCCCAUGAAUUGCAGCACGCCAGGCCUCCCUGUCCAUCAGCAACUCCCAGAGUUCACUCAAACUCACGUCCAUCGAGUCGGUGAUGCCAUCCAGCCAUCUCAUCCUCUGUCGUCCCCUUCUCCUCCUGCGCCCAAUCCCUCCCAGCAUCAGAGUCUUUUCCAAUGAGUCAACUCUUCGCAUGAGGUGGCCAAAGUACUGGAGUUGCAGCUUUAGCAUCAUUCCUUCCAAAGAACACCCAGGGCUGAUCUCCUUCAGAAUGGACUGGUUGGAUCUCCUUGCAGUCCAAGGGACUCUCAAGAGUCUUCUCCAACACCACAGUUCAAAAGCAUCAGUUCUUCAGCGCUCAGCUUUCUUCACAGUCCAACUCUCACAUGACAUACAUGACUACUGGAAAAACCAUAGCCUUGACUAGACGGACCUUGCCAGGCUAGACCUGAGCAUUUGGCUGCCAGCGUGAUUUGGACCGAGUUCAGUGGCUAAGAACGUGUUUUCAGAGACAAAUUCAGUGUACUCAUCUGGAAGAUGGGGAGGUGGUAAGAUUUGAUGAAAUGAUUGAGGCAAAGCAUGUCAUGCGUGAAACAUGCAGAGCAUUAUUAUAUUAUUAUUAUUAAUUGAAGGUAAGUUUUGUCAUCAAAUCAAGACAAGAACCAAGGCAGGGAAAGGGGUGGGCACUGGAGGACCUGAAUGCUGUGCUAAAGAUGUAAGACAUUGUUUCUUUUCUUUUUUAAAUUUUCAUCUGAUAUAUGACAUAUGGAUAUUUUUGUGAAGUAUUAAUGAAAAUUUACAAUGUUAUAUUUCAUUGUGUACUCUACUCUUGUAAGAACUGUGAAUGUGUGUUUUAAACUUCACACACUUUGCAAUUUCAAAAGGUCUUUUAAAUCCUUUAUUUUGUACAGUCUUGUUUAUUCACUUUAUGUUUGCAUAAUUCACACACCUAGUAAAGAAAAUUUCAAAAACUGCACAAAGAAAACUAGAGUGAAUGAAAAAAUCUGUCUCCUCCAACCUCUGUUCCCUGCUGGGCCCGCCCCACACCCCUUUCCCUUCCCAGAAUCCACCGCCACAACCAGCUGUGUCUCUUCUCUGAGAACCAGUUUAUUAUUUUAC